RNAcentral lists this ribosomal RNA (468 nucleotides) under uncultured bacterium. Its description in RNAcentral is "partial 16S ribosomal RNA". It matches the Rfam family "Bacterial small subunit ribosomal RNA", at positions 28 to 507 of the family's 1533-position model. The record is from RNAcentral.
GACGAACGCUGGCGGCGUGCUUAACACAUGCAAGUCGAACGGGAAGGCCCUGCUUUUGUGGGGUGCUCGAGUGGCGAACGGGUGAGUAACACGUGAGUAACCUGCCCUUGACUUUGGUAUAACUUCAGGAAACUGGGGCUAAUCUCGGAUAGGAGCUCCUGCUGCAUGGUGGGGGUUGGAAAGUUUCGGCGGUUGGGGAUGGACUCGCGGCUUAUCAGCUUGUUGGUGGGGUAGUGGCUUACCAAGGCAUUGACGGGUCGGCGGCCUGAGAGGGUGACCGGCCACAUUGGGACUAAGAUACGGCCCAGACUCCUACGGGAGGCAGCAGUGGGAAAUAUUGCACAAUGGGCGGAAGCCUGAUGCAGCAACGCCGCGUGCGGGAUGACGGCCUUCGGGUUGUAAACCGCUUCCGCCUGUGACGAAGCGUGAGUGACGGUAAUGGGUAAAGAAGCACCGGCUAACUACGUG